CUUGGCCUCUGCCGUCGCCGCCGGACUCUGCAGUCCCAGACUCACUGAAAAGCUACCAGCUAGACGCGGUCGCCGGACUCCCGACUCUGUGAAAUAUCUGGUGUCAGAAGUGGGAUUCAAAGAUUCCUGCCUAUUCUGUCACCUGUGUCAACCUCAGAGAGCUAGUACCAGCACAAGACCCCUUGUGUCCAAGCCUGGAUUUAACUCAAUGGUCCAGGCUGCUGGUUGUUAAAUAUUGAUAAGCACAUCCCCUGCAGGAAGCCCAUUGUUGCUUUGCUGCUACCAACAGAUCACCUCCCUUCAGCUCUCUGGAAUCAGCCCAGGAACUCCUCCCCACUCUGUCCCUGUAAUAAAUGGGUUGGGGAGGAUGUCAGGAAUGAUCAUGAAAUACUCUUUUUAUAUUUCCCUUGUGCACCUGGGGGGAUGUGGAGGGGAACUAAAACCAAGUCUCUAUGAGUUGUUUCUUGCCCAGGGUCACACAUCUGGGAAGUGUCCGAGACCAGAUUUUAACCUAGAAUCUCCUGUCUCUAGGCCUGGCUCUCAGUCCACUGAGGUACCCAGCUGCUCCCUACUAAUUAUUUUUAAACCCAAAUGGAACAAGAAGCUGGGGCUAGAGUAGAGAGAUGGGAGAAAGAGGGGCAAAAUGUCAAGUUGAGAUAAAGCAUAUAGUUUGUAUUGGUGUGGUGUGUGUCUGUGUGAGUCACCAUUAAUUUUUAAAACAAAACAAUACAAAUGCAUGCAUGUAAGUAUGUAACACAACAGUGUGUAACAUGCAUGUAAUAUAACAAUGUUAUGUGUGUAACAUAAUAGCAU
RNAcentral lists this long non-coding RNA (813 nucleotides) under Monodelphis domestica (gray short-tailed opossum). RNAcentral's name for it is "lncRNA (ENSMODG00000046814.1)". Lineage: Eukaryota; Metazoa; Chordata; Mammalia; Didelphimorphia; Didelphidae. The record is from RNAcentral.